Molecule: ribosomal RNA, 506 nt
Filed under: uncultured bacterium
Lineage: Bacteria
Description: partial 16S ribosomal RNA
Rfam family: Bacterial small subunit ribosomal RNA
Source: RNAcentral
AGUGAACGCUGGCGGUAGGCCUAACACAUGCAAGUCGAACGGCAGCACAGAGGAGCUUGCUCCUUGGGUGGCGAGUGGCGGACGGGUGAGGAAUACAUCGGAAUCUACUCUGUCGUGGGGGAUAACGUAGGGAAACUUACGCUAAUACCGCAUACGACCUACGGGUGAAAGCAGGGGAUCUUCGGACCUUGCGCGAUUGAAUGAGCCGAUGUCGGAUUAGCUAGUUGGCGGGGUAAAGGCCCACCAAGGCGACGAUCCGUAGCUGGUCUGAGCGGAUGAUCAGCCACACUGGAACUGAGAGACGGUCCAGACUCCUACGGGAUGCAGCAGUGGGGAAGAUUGGACGAUGGGCGCAAGCCUGAUCCAGCCAUACCGCGUGGGUGAAGAAGGCCUUCGGGUUGUAAAGCCCUUUUGUUGGGAAAGAAAUCCAUCUGGUUAAUACCCGGGUGGGAUGACGGUACCCAAAGAAUAAGCACCGGCUAACUUCGUGCCAGCCGCCGCAGUAA